This 69-nucleotide transfer RNA is filed under the name Kuhlia mugil (barred flagtail). RNAcentral describes it as "tRNA-Trp". It matches the Rfam family "tRNA". Rfam says of the family: Transfer RNA (tRNA) molecules are approximately 80 nucleotides in length. Their secondary structure includes four short double-helical elements and three loops (D, anti-codon, and T loops). Lineage: Eukaryota; Metazoa; Chordata; Actinopteri; Centrarchiformes; Kuhliidae. The record is from RNAcentral.
AGGGACUUAGGAUAACGAGACCGAGGGCCUUCAAAGCCCUAAGCGGGAGUGAAAGUCUCCCAGUCCCUG